Spinacia oleracea (spinach) is the source of this 721-nucleotide long non-coding RNA. RefSeq lists it as uncharacterized. Lineage: Eukaryota; Viridiplantae; Streptophyta; Magnoliopsida; Caryophyllales; Amaranthaceae. The record is from RefSeq and is a predicted model, not a curated record. The transcript has 5 exons.
UCCACGUGAUGUUCUCUAAAUAGCUCUCGUUGCCUGCAACUUCACCUUUUAGGGGAAAAGAAAAACCGCCUCAGCUCACUGAUCGAAUACCCCUCAGGCCCUCACCACCACUCAUCUCCUGUUAAAGAAUCUCAGAUCUAAUCUCCUCUCAUUGGAAUUAUCUUGUUCGGCAUGCCAAUGGUUAUUUGUCAUCUUCUACCUUGUCGGUCUUGUGAAAGUUGCAAUUGAGGACAUUUUGAGCUUGGAAUGGGACUUUUAGAUGGGCUCCAUGUCCCUUCUGACAAAGUUGUCGCCCAAAAUAAAAUAAAAAAGGCGCAACAAGAGAACAAACAGAGCAAGGUGUAGGAAAAUUUCGGACUUCAGCUUUAAUCAGGUGGAUAAAAAGCACAGUGCGAGUCAGGGAUGAUAGAGUAUUUUGUGAAGAUCGUUCAACGUGAUAAGGAGCAACAUGAAUGAAGGCCGGGACACUCGAGCUUCAUCAUAUCACCUACUAUCACAGUUAGAUCCUAGUUUUCUAGGCUUUAUUACUUCUUCGGUUUAGUAACAUAGAUAUAAUUUCGGAGGUUUGAUGUCUGGACUAUUUAGUUAGUAACAUUUUUGUACUAUGGAAUUUGGUUAGUGCAAUGGAUUUUGGUUAAUUAGUAACACUAUCGUGUAUGAUGGAUUUUAACUAUGUACUUUUAGAUUUUUAUAAGUUAAUUUUAAUGUUACGUUGAUCAAA